GACGGGGGGGGCAAGUGUUCUUCGGAAUCACUGGGCUUACAGGGUGCGUAGGCGGUCUGUUAAGUAGGGUGUGAAAGCCCCCGGCUCAACCGGGGAAUUGCGCCCUAAACUGGCGGACUGGAGUGAGAUAGGGGUGUGCGGAACUUCCGGUGGAGCGGUGAAAUGUGUUGAUAUCGGAAGGAACGCCGGUGGCGAAAGCGGCACACUGGAUCUCAACUGACGCUGAGGCACGAAAGCCAGGGGAGCGAACGGG
Molecule: ribosomal RNA, 253 nt
Filed under: uncultured bacterium
Lineage: Bacteria
Description: partial 16S ribosomal RNA
Rfam family: Bacterial small subunit ribosomal RNA
Source: RNAcentral